This is a long non-coding RNA of Gavia stellata (red-throated loon), 180 nucleotides long. RefSeq lists it as uncharacterized. The record is from RefSeq and is a predicted model, not a curated record. The transcript has 3 exons. Lineage: Eukaryota; Metazoa; Chordata; Aves; Gaviiformes; Gaviidae.
AAGGCAAGUGGAGCUUCUUCCAAAUCAGGCGAGAAACCAGCAGAAGCGGCAGAGAAGAAACCAGGAAGUGCUAAUGUUAGCCAACCCCCCAAAACACAGACAAGUGGAGCACCUUCUGCUGUUAAGAAGCAGUCCCCCUCUGCGGAUGCAUCAAAACCACAAAUUGCGAAGCCAUCUGAA